CGACGUAGGUAACCUGCCUUGUAGCGGGGGAUAACUAUUGGAAACGAUAGCUAAUACCGCAUAACAAUGGAUGACACAUGUCAUUUAUUUGAAAGGGGCAAUUGCUCCACUACAAGAUGGACCUGCGUUGUAUUAGCUAGUAGGUGAGGUAACGGCUCACCUAGGCGACGAUACAUAGCCGACCUGAGAGGGCGAUCGGCCACACUGGGACUGAGACACGGCCCAG
RNAcentral lists this ribosomal RNA (226 nucleotides) under uncultured Sphingobacteriales bacterium. RNAcentral describes it as "partial 16S ribosomal RNA". It matches the Rfam family "Bacterial small subunit ribosomal RNA", at positions 113 to 334 of the family's 1533-position model. The record is from RNAcentral. Lineage: Bacteria; Pseudomonadati; Bacteroidota; Sphingobacteriia; Sphingobacteriales.